GUGUUCACUUCAGCAGCACAUAUACUAAAAUGGGACCCUUACAAAGAUUAGCAUGGCCCCUGCACGAGGAUGAUACGCAAAUCCACGAGGCAUUCCACAUUCUU
Molecule: small nuclear RNA, 104 nt
Organism: Pteronotus mesoamericanus
Lineage: Eukaryota; Metazoa; Chordata; Mammalia; Chiroptera; Mormoopidae
Source: RefSeq, a predicted model, not a curated record